Molecule: ribosomal RNA, 484 nt
Filed under: uncultured bacterium
Lineage: Bacteria
Description: partial 16S ribosomal RNA
Rfam family: Bacterial small subunit ribosomal RNA
Source: RNAcentral
AUUGAACGCUGGCGGCAGGCCUAACACAUGCAAGUCGAGCGGAUGAAGGGAGCUUGCUCCUGGAUUCAGCGGCGGACGGGUGAGUAAUGCCUAGGAAUCUGCCUGGUAGUGGGGGAUAACGUCCGGAAACGGGCGCUAAUACCGCAUACGUCCUGAGGGAGAAAGUGAGGGAUCUUCGGACCUCACGCUAUCAGAUGAGCCUAGGUCGGAUUAGCUAGUUGGUGGGGUAAAGGCCUACCAAGGCGACGAUCCGUAACUGGUCUGAGAGGAUGAUCAGUCACACUGGAGCUGAGACACGGUCCAGACUCCUACGGGAGGCAGCAGUGGGGAAUAUUGGACAAUGGGCGAAAGCCUGAUCCAGCCAUGCCGCGUGUGUGAAGAAGGUCUUCGGAUUGUAAAGCACUUUAAGUUGGGAGGAAGGGCAGUAAGUUAAUACCUUGCUGUUUUGACGUUACCAACAGAAUAAGCACCGGCUAACUUCGUG